GAAGAUCAAAGCAGUGGAAGCCACACAAUGCAGAGAACCAACAGUGGAGCUAUGCCUAGUGAGAAGCAAAGAGACGCUGGAUGGCCUGAGAAAGGGAGAGAGAAUGAGAAAAGUUGUCAGCUUUUAGUUCCUGGUUCCAGUCCUUCAUGAGGGCCAGCUUGAUUCCAGAGAAAAGGUCAUUUGGAAAAUAUAGCCAUUUUUGGAAGACUGAGCAGCCAAGGUUCUUACGUAUAGGAGACUGGGACCAAAAAAAAAAGGUGUAUAACAGUUCACAACUUCAUCUACAGCCUCAAGCCAAGAACUAUGAAAAAGAUAACAGGCCUCUGAUGACCGGCCCCUACUAACAGUGUAAGGCUAUCUGUGAACUC
This is a long non-coding RNA of Piliocolobus tephrosceles (Ugandan red Colobus), 368 nucleotides long. RefSeq lists it as uncharacterized. The transcript has 3 exons. The record is from RefSeq and is a predicted model, not a curated record. Lineage: Eukaryota; Metazoa; Chordata; Mammalia; Primates; Cercopithecidae.